Molecule: ribosomal RNA, 1006 nt
Filed under: Psychrobacter sp.
Lineage: Bacteria; Pseudomonadati; Pseudomonadota; Gammaproteobacteria; Moraxellales; Moraxellaceae
Description: bacterial SSU rRNA
Rfam family: Bacterial small subunit ribosomal RNA
Source: RNAcentral
UUGCUCCCAGGCGUCGAGCGGCGGACGGGUGAGUAACACUUAGGAAUCUACCUAGUAGUGGGGGAUAGCUCGGGGAAACUCGAAUUAAUACCGCAUACGACCUACGGGAGAAAGGGGGCAACUUGUUGCUCUCGCUAUUAGAUGAGCCUAAGUCGGAUUAGCUAGUUGGUGGGGUAAAGGCCUACCAAGGCGACGAUCUGUAGCUGGUCUGAGAGGAUGAUCAGCCACACCGGGACUGAGACACGGCCCGGACUCCUACGGGAGGCAGCAGUGGGGAAUAUUGGACAAUGGGGGCAACCCUGAUCCAGCCAUGCCGCGUGUGUGAAGAAGGCCUUUUGGUUGUAAAGCACUUUAAGCAGUGAAGAAGACCUAACGGUUAAUACCCGUUAGCGAUGACAUUAGCUGCAGAAUAAGCACCGGCUAACUCUGUGCCAGCAGCCGCGGUAAUACAGAGGGUGCAAGCGUUAAUCGGAAUUACUGGGCGUAAAGCGAGCGUAGGUGGCUUGAUAAGUCAGAUGUGAAAUCCCCGGGCUUAACCUGGGAACUGCAUCUGAUACUGUUAGGCUAGAAUAGGUGAGAGGAAGGUAGAAUUCCAGGUGUAGCGGUGAAAUGCGUAGAGAUCUGGAGGAAUACCGAUGGCGAAGGCAGCCUUCUGGCAUCAUAUUGACACUGAGGUUCGAAAGCGUGGGUAGCAAACAGGAUUAGAUACCCUGGUAGUCCACGCCGUAAACGAUGUCUACUAGUCGUUGGGUCCCUUGAGGACUUAGUGACGCAGCUAACGCAAUAAGUAGACCGCCUGGGGAGUACGGCCGCAAGGUUAAAACUCAAAUGAAUUGACGGGGGCCCGCACAAGCGGUGGAGCAUGUGGUUUAAUUCGAUGCAACGCGAAGAACCUUACCUGGUCUUGACAUAUCUAGAAUCCUGCAGAGAUGCGGGAGUGCCUUCGGGAAUUAGAAUACAGGUGCUGCAUGGCUGUCGUCAGCUCGUGUCGUGAGAUGUUGGGUUA